RNAcentral lists this ribosomal RNA (497 nucleotides) under uncultured bacterium. RNAcentral describes it as "partial 16S ribosomal RNA". It matches the Rfam family "Bacterial small subunit ribosomal RNA", at positions 28 to 507 of the family's 1533-position model. The record is from RNAcentral.
GAUGAACGCUGGCGGCGUGCCUAAUACAUGCAAGUCGAGCGAACGGACGAGAAGCUUGCUUCUCUGAUGUUAGCGGCGGACGGGUGAGUAACACGUGGAUAACCUACCUAUAAGACUGGGAUAACUUCGGGAAACCGUAGCUAAUACCGGAUAAUAUUUUGAACCGCAUGGUUCAAAAGUGAAAGACGGUCUUGCGGUCACUUAUAGAUGGAUCCGCGCUGGAUUAGCUAGUUGGUAAGGUAACGGCUUACCAAGGCAACGAUGCAUAGCCGACCUGAGAGGGUGAUAGGCCACACUGGAACUGAGACACGGUCCAGACUCCUACGGGAGGCAGCAGUAGGGAAUCUUCCGCAAAGGGCGAAAGCCUGACGGAGCAACGCCGCGUGAGUGAUGAAGGUCCUCGGAUCGUAAAACUCUGUUAUUAGGGAAGAACAUAUGUGUAAGUAACUGUGCACAUCUUGACGGUACCUAAUCAGAAAGCCACGGCUAACUACGUG